Molecule: ribosomal RNA, 497 nt
Filed under: uncultured bacterium
Lineage: Bacteria
Description: partial 16S ribosomal RNA
Rfam family: Bacterial small subunit ribosomal RNA
Source: RNAcentral
GAUGAACGCUGGCGGCGUGCCUAAUACAUGCAAGUCGAGCGAACGGACGAGAAGCUUGCUUUUCUGAUGUUAGCGGCGGACGGGUGAGUAACACGUGGAUAACCUACCUAUAAGACUGGGAUAACUUCGGGAAACCGGAGCUAAUACCGGGUAAUAUUUUGAACCGCAUGGUUCAAUAGUGAAAGACGGUCUUGCUGUCACUUAUAGAUGGAUCCGCGCUGCAUUAGCUAGUUGGUAAGGUAACGGCUUACCAAGGCAACGAUGCAUAGCCGACCUGAGAGGGUGAUCGGCCACACUGGAACUGAGACACGGUCCAGACUCCUACGGGAGGCAGCAGUAGGGAAUCUUCCGCAAUGGGCGAAAGCCUGACGGAGCAACGCCGCGUGAGUGAUGAAGGUCUUCGGAUCGUAAAACUCUGUUAUUAGGGAAGAACAUAUGUGUAAGUAACUGUGCACAUCUUGACGGUACCUAAUCAGAAAGCCACGGCUAACUACGUG